AACGAACGCUGGCGGCAGGCCUAACACAUGCAAGUCGAGCGCCCUUUCGGGGGAGCGGCGGACGGGUGAGUAACGCGUGGGAAUAGGCCCUUCUCUACGGAAUAGCCUCGUUAAACUGAGAGUAAUACCGUAUACGCCCUGUGGUGGAAAGGUUUAUCGGGGAAGGAUUAGCCCGCGUUGGAUUAGGUAGUUGGUGGGGUAAUGGCCUACCAAGCCGAGGAGCCAUAGCUGGUGUGAGAGGAUGAUCAGCCACACUGGGACUGAGACACGGCCCAGACUCCUACGGGAGGCAGCAGUGGGGAAUCUUAGACAAUGGCGGCAACCCUGAUCUACCCAUGCCGCGUGAGUGAUGAAGGCCUUAGGGUUGUAAAGCUCUUUCAGCUGGGAAGAUAAUGACGGUACCAGAAGAAGAAGCCCCGGCUAACUCCGUG
Molecule: ribosomal RNA, 431 nt
Filed under: uncultured bacterium
Lineage: Bacteria
Description: partial 16S ribosomal RNA
Rfam family: Bacterial small subunit ribosomal RNA
Source: RNAcentral